This 255-nucleotide ribosomal RNA is filed under the name uncultured bacterium. RNAcentral describes it as "partial 16S ribosomal RNA". It matches the Rfam family "Bacterial small subunit ribosomal RNA", at positions 524 to 776 of the family's 1533-position model. The record is from RNAcentral.
UACGUAGGCAGCGAGCGUUGUUCGGAGUUACUGGGCGUAAAGGGUGUGUAGGCGGUUCUUUAAGUUUGGUGUGAAAUCUCCCGGCCUCAACCGGGAGGGUGCGCCGAAUACUGAGGAACUUGGAGUAUGGGAUGGGAAAGUGGAAUUCCUGGUGUAGCGGUGAAAUGCGUAGAUAUCAGGAGGAACACCUGUGGUGUAGACGGCUUUCUGGACCAUAACUGACGCUGAGACACGAAAGCGUGGGUAGCAAACAGG